UAGAAUGUAGUGUAAUGGUAGCACAGAGAUUUUUGAAGUCUUUAGUUAAGGUUCAAAUCCUAGAAUUCUAG
Molecule: non-coding RNA, 71 nt
Organism: Echinops telfairi (small Madagascar hedgehog)
Lineage: Eukaryota; Metazoa; Chordata; Mammalia; Afrosoricida; Tenrecidae
Source: Ensembl